GAUGAAGAACGUAGCGAAAUGCGAUAAGUAAUGUGAAUUGCAGAAUUCAGUGAAUCAUCGAAUCUUUGAACGCACAUUGCGCCCGCCAGUACUCUGGCGGGCAUGCCUGUCCGAGCGUCAUUUCAACCCUCGAGCCCCCCCUCCGCCCCCGGCGGCGGCGGGGCUCGGCGUUGGGGGUCCACGGCCCAGCGCCGCCCCCGAAAUGCAGUGGCGACCCCGCCGCGGCCUCCCCUGCGCAGUAGCUCCCAGAGAACCUCGCACCGGAAGCGCGGAGGCGGUCACGCCGUAAAACAACCUCCUCCUGGAAGUUGACCUCGGAUCAGGUAGGGAUACCCGCUGAACUUAAGCAUAUCAAUAAGCGGAGGA
This 366-nucleotide unclassified non-coding RNA is filed under the name soil metagenome. RNAcentral describes it as "partial contains 5.8S ribosomal RNA, internal transcribed spacer 2, and large subunit ribosomal RNA". The stretch from base 1 to 120 matches the Rfam family "5.8S ribosomal RNA", at positions 35 to 154 of the family's 154-position model. The record is from RNAcentral.